This 368-nucleotide ribosomal RNA is filed under the name uncultured organism. Its description in RNAcentral is "bacterial LSU rRNA". It matches the Rfam family "Bacterial large subunit ribosomal RNA", at positions 2099 to 2465 of the family's 2925-position model. The record is from RNAcentral.
CUUUACUGUAGCUUUGCAUUGGACUUUGACGGGACUUGUGUAGGAUAGGUGGGAGGCUAUGAAAGUGCGACGCUAGUUGUGCUGGAGCCGUCCUUGAAAUACCACCCUGGUGUCGUUGAGGUUCUAACCUUGGUCCGUGAAUCCGGAUCGGGGACCGUGCAUGGUAGGCAGUUUGACUGGGGCGGUCUCCUCCCAAAAGGUAACGGAGGAGUUCGAAGGUCUCCUAGGUACGGUCGGACAUCGUACUGAUAGUGCAAUGGCAAAAGGAGGCUUGACUGCGAGACCGACAAGUCGAGCAGGUGCGAAAGCAGGACAUAGUGAUCCGGUGGUUCUGUAUGGAAGGGCCAUCGCUCAACGGAUAAAAGGUA